Molecule: transfer RNA, 71 nt
Filed under: Opitutales bacterium
Lineage: Bacteria; Pseudomonadati; Verrucomicrobiota; Opitutia; Opitutales
Description: tRNA-Arg
Rfam family: tRNA
About the family: Transfer RNA (tRNA) molecules are approximately 80 nucleotides in length. Their secondary structure includes four short double-helical elements and three loops (D, anti-codon, and T loops).
Source: RNAcentral
GUCCCUAUAGUUCAAUGGAUAGAACAACUGUUUCCUAAAUAGUCGAUCCGGGUUCGAGUCCCGGUGGGGGC